Molecule: ribosomal RNA, 862 nt
Filed under: uncultured bacterium
Lineage: Bacteria
Description: bacterial SSU rRNA
Rfam family: Bacterial small subunit ribosomal RNA
Source: RNAcentral
CAANGUAUGCUUUGGAAACUGUUAGACUUGAGUGCAGAAGGGGAGAGUGGAAUUCCAUGUGUAGCGGUGAAAUGCGUAGAUAUAUGGAGGAACACCGGUGGCGAAAGCGGCUCUCUGGUCUGUCACUGACGCUGAGGCUNGAAAGCGUGGGUAGCGAACAGGAUUAGAUACCCUGGUAGUNCACGCCGUAAACGCUGAGUGCUAGGUGUUAGGUCCUUUCCGGGACUUAGUGCCGACGCUAACGCAUUAAGCACUCCGCCUGGGGAGUACGACCGCAAGGUUGAAACUCAAAGGAAUUGACGGGGGCCCGCACAAGCGGUGGAGCAUGUGGUUUAAUUCGAAGCAACGCGAAGAACCUUACCAGGUCUUGACAUCCCGAUGCCCGCUCUAGAGAUAGAGUUUUUCUUCGGAACAUCGGAGACAGGUGGUGCAUGGUUGUCGUCAGCUCGUGUCGUGAGAUGUUGGGUUAAGUCCCGCAACGAGCGCAACCCUUAUUGUUAGUUGCCAUCAUUAAGUUGGGCACUCUAGCGAGACUGCCGGUAAUAAACCGGAGGAAGGUGGGGAUGACGUCAAAUCAUCAUGCCCCUUAUGACCUGGGCUACACACGUGCUACAGUGGUUGGUACAACGAGUCGCAAGCCGGUGACGGCAAGCUAAUCUCUGAAAGCCAAUCUCAGUUCGGAUUGUAGGCUGCAACUCGCCUACAUGAAGUCGGAAUCGCUAGUAAUCGCGGAUCAGCACGCCGCGGUGAAUACGUUCCCGGGCCUUGUACACACCGCCCGUCACACCACGAGAGUUUGUAACACCCAAAGUCGGUGAGGUAACCAUUUAUGGGGCCAGCCGCCUAAGGUGGGANGGAUGAU